This 273-nucleotide long non-coding RNA is filed under the name Setaria viridis. RNAcentral describes it as "long non-coding RNA (SVIR_LNC003266)". The record is from RNAcentral. Lineage: Eukaryota; Viridiplantae; Streptophyta; Magnoliopsida; Poales; Poaceae.
ACAGGUCUAGGAGAAGGAGUACCGCGGGAGGACUCCUUAGUGGGCGCCUCCUCAUCUCACCCCUCCUCUUCGCCUGCCACCUCCUCCGAGCGGCGAGAGGAAGGAGCUGCGCCCCCGGUCUGAUCACGCGACACCAUGCUCGCACCUCGACCAUGGCUCCUCUCCCCCUUCAGAGCCUUCUCUGGAGGUUGGGGCAUUCUGGAGUCGCCACGCCCCUAAUGGCGAGGAUCCGAUUCACUCGCGAGCCCAACACCAGCGAGGCCUAGGCGUUGU